RNAcentral lists this ribosomal RNA (380 nucleotides) under uncultured eukaryote. RNAcentral's name for it is "partial 18S ribosomal RNA". It matches the Rfam family "Eukaryotic small subunit ribosomal RNA", at positions 592 to 976 of the family's 1831-position model. The record is from RNAcentral.
CAAUAGCGUAUAUUAAAGUUGUUGCGGUUAAAAAGCUCGUAGUUGGAUUUCUGCUGAGAACGACCGGUCCGCCCUCUGGGUGUGUAUCUGGCUCUUUCUUGGCAUCUUCUUGGUGAACGUUGCUGCACUUGACUGUGUGGAGCGCUACCCAGGACUUUUACUUUGAGGAAAUUAGAGUGUUUCAAGCAGGCAUACGCCUUGAAUACAUUAGCAUGGAAUAAUAAGAUAGGACCUCGGUUCUAUUUUGUUGGUUUCUAGAGCUGAGGUAAUGAUUAAUAGGGAUAGUUGGGGGCAUUCGUAUUUAACUAUCAGAGGUGAAAUUCUUGGAUUUGUUAAAGACGGACUACUGCGAAAGCAUUUGCCAAGGAUGUUUUCAUUGA